UACGAAGGGUGCAAGCGUUACUCGGAAUUACUGGGCGUAAAGGGUGCGUAGGCGGUCUGUCGCGUCGGCUGUGAAAACCCGGAGCUCAACUCCGGGCCUGCAGUCGAUACGGGCAGACUGGAGUUCGGCAGGGGAGACUGGAAUUCCUGGUGUAGCGGUGAAAUGCGCAGAUAUCAGGAGGAAUACCGAUGGCGAAGGCAGGUCUCUGGGCUGACACUGACGCUCAUGCACGAAAGCGUGGGGAGCAAACAGG
This 253-nucleotide ribosomal RNA is filed under the name uncultured bacterium. RNAcentral describes it as "partial 16S ribosomal RNA". It matches the Rfam family "Bacterial small subunit ribosomal RNA", at positions 524 to 776 of the family's 1533-position model. The record is from RNAcentral.